This 253-nucleotide ribosomal RNA is filed under the name uncultured bacterium. RNAcentral's name for it is "partial 16S ribosomal RNA". It matches the Rfam family "Bacterial small subunit ribosomal RNA", at positions 524 to 776 of the family's 1533-position model. The record is from RNAcentral.
UACGUAGGGGGCAAGCGUUGUCCGGAAUCAUUGGGCGUAAAGCGCACGUAGGCGGCCUGGUAAGUCCGUUGUGAAAGUCAGAGGCUCAACCUCUGGAGGCCAAUGGAUACUGCCGGGCUAGAGUCCGGAAGAGGCGAGUGGAAUUCCUGGUGUAGCGGUGGAAUGCGCAGAUAUCAGGAGGAACACCGGUGGCGAAGGCGGCUUUCUGGACAGUAACUGACGCUGAGGCGCGAAAGCUAGGGGAGCAAACAGG